UACGUGGGGUGCAAGCGUUGUUCGGAAUUACUGGGCGUAAAGCGUGAGGAGGCGGCUCGCUAAGUCUAAUGUGAAAGCCCUGAGCUUAACUCAGGAACUGCAUCGGAAACUAGCGGGCUAGAGUUCGGGAGAGGGUCGUGGAAUUCUUGGUGUAGAGGUGAAAUUCGUAGAUAUCAAGAGGAACACCGGUGGCGAAGGCGGCGACCUGGACCGACACUGACGCUGAGGUGCGAAAGCGUGGGGAGCGAACAGG
Molecule: ribosomal RNA, 253 nt
Filed under: uncultured bacterium
Lineage: Bacteria
Description: partial 16S ribosomal RNA
Rfam family: Bacterial small subunit ribosomal RNA
Source: RNAcentral